CAAAGCGGCUAACAAAUCGGCUGCCGGCUAAACCGAAAUUUCUCGGGCUGUUUGCUAUCGCAACCGACUAAAUCUAGCCGGCAAACGGCUGGAAAGGCAACACUGUUGGCAAGUUACUAGAUAUUUCUUGCUGGAGGAUACGAAACACAACUUAUGUCUUACUAUGUACUGGAAUAAACUAAAAAAUAUUAAUAAUUAAUAACUCAGCACAAUAAAAAAGAUUACUGAUUGAUCAUUUUUCUGAACCAAAGUACUCUUGUGUAUACGUAGUACCGACUUUCUUUCAUUUCCGACGGAUGUAACCACUUUGUAAAAGCAUCGGUACGCUUACGAGCAGGAAUGGAAGGAAAAGUUUCGGCUAUUUAUGUAUUUGUAUCUAUGCUAUUAGUUCGUCGCUAACGCUUAGCAAAAGUAUAGAUUCGUCGGAUGAAAUAAUUAUAUCUAUACAAAGAUCAUUAAAUACAAAUAGCGUGAACCCUUGACAAACUUUGUUAAUGCUUGCAAAUUCGGAAAAGAAUAGUACAGCAUCACAGAGCUCUGAUAAUGGUA
Rhagoletis zephyria (snowberry fruit fly) is the source of this 549-nucleotide long non-coding RNA. RefSeq lists it as uncharacterized. The record is from RefSeq and is a predicted model, not a curated record. NCBI's taxonomy places the organism in Eukaryota, Metazoa, Arthropoda, Insecta, Diptera, Tephritidae.